RNAcentral lists this ribosomal RNA (571 nucleotides) under uncultured diatom. RNAcentral describes it as "bacterial SSU rRNA". It matches the Rfam family "Bacterial small subunit ribosomal RNA", at positions 8 to 619 of the family's 1533-position model. The record is from RNAcentral. Lineage: Eukaryota; Bacillariophyta.
AGAGUUUGAUCCUGGCUCAGGAUGAACGCUGGCGGUAUGCCUAACACAUGCAAGUCGUACGAGAGUUUUCGGACCCUAGUGGCGGACGGGUGAGUAACACGUGAGAAUUUGCCUUUAGGAGGGGGAUAACAAUUGGAAACGAAUGCUAAUACCCCAUAUGCUUUCGAGUGAAACGGAUUUAUCCGCCUAAAGAGAAGCUCGCGGCUGAUUAGCUUGUUGGUAAGGUAAGAGCUUACCAAGGCGACGAUCAGUAUCUGGUUUGAGAGGACGAUCAGACACACUGGAACUGAGACACGGUCCAGACUCCUACGGGAGGCAGCAGUGGGGAAUUUUCCGCAAUGGGCGAAAGCCUGACGGAGCAAUACCGCGUGAGGGAUGACUGCCUAUGGGUUGUAAACCUCUUUUUUCAGGGAGGAAUAAAUGACGUGUACCUGAAGAAUAAGCAUCGGCUAACUCCGUGCCAGCAGCCGCGGUAAGACGGAGGAUGCAAGUGUUAUCCGGAAUCACUGGGCGUAAAGCGUCUGUAGGUGGCUUAAUAAGUCAACUGUUAAUCUUGAGGCUCAACUUCGAA